UACGUAGGGUGCAAGCGUUGUCCGGAAUUAUUGGGCGUAAAGAGCUCGUAGGCGGUGUGUCACGUCGGCCGUGAAAACCUGCAGCUUAACUGUGGGCUUGCGGUCGAUACGGGCAUCACUGGAGUUCGGCAGGGGAGACUGGAAUUCCUGGUGUAGCGGUGAAAUGCGCAGAUAUCAGGAGGAACACCGGUGGCGAAGGCGGGUCUCUGGGCCGAUACUGACGCUGAGGAGCGAAAGCGUGGGGAGCGAACAGG
RNAcentral lists this ribosomal RNA (254 nucleotides) under uncultured bacterium. Its description in RNAcentral is "partial 16S ribosomal RNA". It matches the Rfam family "Bacterial small subunit ribosomal RNA", at positions 524 to 776 of the family's 1533-position model. The record is from RNAcentral.